CUUCAUUAAUUUCUCUAAUAGGGCCUGUUUAAUGGCGUUGUUUUUAUUUCCUAAUCUCAUUUUCUGUUUUUAUUUUUUUAUUACAAAACUGUAACUAUUUUUCUAUCUGUUUUUUUCUUCAAAGAUUUGUACAAGGAAGAAACAACUUUUUUUUGUUUUCUCGUUUUCCUGUACAAAUACUUGAAAAUAAGAAAUAAAUUGAAUACAAGGUGACAAAUUUUGUAAUUAACAAGUGAAAACAGAAAAUGAAAACUCAAGCUAACGUCCUUAUUGGUUGAAAAGGAGCGUGUGUCCACACAUUGCUGGAAAGAGUGUUACUAGCUAUUUUCAUAUAAAUAAUAUUCUAUUUACCAUUGUGAUGUAUAUGCAUGUAUAUUCAUGAUCCUCAGGCAUGCAAGUUGGAGAAAAGAGAAGACUUGUAAUUCCACCAUCAUUGACGUCUGAGAGUGAUGGUUCAAGUGCCAAGAUACCACCAAAUUCAUGGUUGGUUUAUGACUUUGAACUGGUUAAAGUUCAUUGAAUAUUUCAUCCAACCGAAUGUGGCUGAUUACAUUUUUUGGAUGAACGCGAAAAAAACGGAGUUAUACAGUGGACUGUCAAAAACCAACUGUACGUCAAAGUUUUUAUUUUUUGGUUGAAUCUCUGGUGUCCGGUGAAUAGUUUUUGGAGUGGAACAGUGGUUGACUCGCGCAACCAAAUCCGAAGUCUUGAUUCUGAGUGAAAAUGUUCAAACACAUAACGGGCUGAUUUCCUUAUUGUGAUAAAAGCAAACAUUAAACAACUGAAUACAAAAUGUUUCCGUAGUGGAUUAGUUAA
Molecule: non-coding RNA, 816 nt
Organism: Cajanus cajan (pigeon pea)
Lineage: Eukaryota; Viridiplantae; Streptophyta; Magnoliopsida; Fabales; Fabaceae
Source: RefSeq, a predicted model, not a curated record